UACGUAGGUGGCAAGCGUUGUCCGGAUUUAUUGGGUUUAAAGGGUGCGUAGGCGGCCUAUUAAGUCAGUGCUGAAAUAUCCCGGCUUAACCGGGAGGGUGGCAUUGAUACUGAUGGGCUUGAGUAGAGUUGAGGUUGGCGGAAUUGACGGUGUAGCGGUGAAAUGCUUAGAUAUCGUCAAGAACACCUAUUGCGAAGGCAGCUAACUAAGCUCAAACUGACGCUGAGGCACGAAAGCGUGGGGAUCAAACAGG
This 253-nucleotide ribosomal RNA is filed under the name uncultured bacterium. RNAcentral's name for it is "partial 16S ribosomal RNA". It matches the Rfam family "Bacterial small subunit ribosomal RNA", at positions 524 to 776 of the family's 1533-position model. The record is from RNAcentral.